AGUGAACGCUGGCGGUAGGCCUAACACAUGCAAGUCGAACGGCAGCACAGUAAGAGCUUGCUCUUACGGGUGGCGAGUGGCGGACGGGUGGGGAAUACAUCGGAAUCUACUUUUUCGUGGGGGAUAACGUAGGGAAACUUACGCUAAUACCGCAUACGACCUACGGGUGAAAGCAGGGGAUCUUCGGACCUUGCGCGAUUGAAUGAGCCGAUGUCGGAUUAGCUAGUUGGCGGGGUAAAGGCCCACCAAGGCGACGAUCCGUAGCUGGUCUGAGAGGAUGAUCAGCCACACUGGGACUGAGACACGGUCCAGACUCCUACGGGAGGCAGCAGUGGGGAAUAUUGGACAAUGGGCGCAAGCCUGAUCCAGCCAUACCGCGUGGGUGAAGAAGGCCUUCGGGUUGUAAAGCCCUUUUGUUGGGAAAGAAAAGCAGCAGGUUAAUACCCCGCUGUUCUGACGGUACCCAAAGAAUAAGCACCGGCUAACUUCGUG
This 492-nucleotide ribosomal RNA is filed under the name uncultured bacterium. Its description in RNAcentral is "partial 16S ribosomal RNA". It matches the Rfam family "Bacterial small subunit ribosomal RNA", at positions 29 to 507 of the family's 1533-position model. The record is from RNAcentral.